This is a small nucleolar RNA of Dasypus novemcinctus (nine-banded armadillo), 126 nucleotides long. Its record names the gene SNORA71. It matches the Rfam family "Small nucleolar RNA SNORA71". From Rfam's summary of the family: The members of this family belong to the H/ACA class of snoRNAs which bind a number of proteins (including dyskerin, Gar1p and Nop10p) to form snoRNP complexes. This class of snoRNAs are thought to guide the sites of modification of uridines to pseudouridines by forming direct base pairing interactions with substrate RNAs. The record is from Ensembl. Lineage: Eukaryota; Metazoa; Chordata; Mammalia; Cingulata; Dasypodidae.
UCCUGCAUUUGAAAGUGAUCAUGGGCUGCCGGUGCCCUGUCACUGAUUGUGCAUGGAAAAGAAUCGCUGAAAGUAUUUCCCCAUGUUUGGAGGGUCUGUCCUUUUCAGACCCUGGAGUUUGCUAUA